CAUUUCUUUAUAAUCGUUAUGCAGGAAAAUUGCCUAAGAAUUAUGACCCAAAAGUUACCCCAGAUCCAGAAAGAUGGCUGCCAAUGCGAGAACGUUCUUACUACCGGGGAAGAAAGAAGGGUAAAAAGAAGGAUCAGAUUGGAAAAGGGACCCAGGGAGCAACUGCAGGAGCUUCAUCUGAACUGGAUGCCAGUAAAACUGUGAGCAGCCCACCCACCUCCCCAAGACCUGGCAGUGCUGCAACAGUAUCUGCCUCUACAAGUAACAUCAUACCCCCAAGACACCAGAAACCUGCAGGGGCUCCAGCAACAAAAAAGAAACAGCAACAGAAAAAGAAGAAAGGUGGAAAAGGUGGCUGGUGAUGAGAAUAUUCUUGUUGCAGGCUGUUUUUAAACUAGUGUCAGUGACACUAGGAAUAUAAUAAAGGUAACACAGCAAGAAGCACAGAACUACUCCCUCUUCAUCUCCAUAUUUUCAUAAUUUCUUGUGUUUCAAAUAGGGAAACAUCUUCCUCAAAGUCUGCCUAGUGAGAUAUGGCCUACUGGUUGCCUCAUAGCUUUGUACAGAUUAUGAGGACUGAAAAUAAUUGGGCAUUUACCCAUCUUGGUAUCUGUUGUAUCCUUUAUCUGUGUGUGCUGAUUCGAUCUUUUUUCAGUUUCACAUACCUUAUCUAAGGUUUCCCAGGAUUUAAACAGAAACUACUUCUGUGAUUUCAGCUGGAGUCUGAAGAUACUUGUUUCUGUUCAAGUCCCACUUUAAAUUAUGUCUUAGGAGACUGAAAGUGGAAUCUUCUGAGCAUUCCUAAAUAUCUGCUUAGAAAUAUCAUGUGAUAAAGAGGGACCUUCUUAAUACACUGAUGUUCUUCACUAAAUGGAUGGCCACAAGAAAAAUAAAGUAAAUGUCUUAAAUAAUUUAACCAUAAAUUUUCUGUCAUGUGAUACUGGAAUAUGGGAUACUUUUCAUGUUUUUAUAUAUAUAUAAACAUAUAUAUAUAUUAUAUAUAUAUAUAUAUAUAUAUAUAUGGCUCCUUUGUGCCCCAUGUCAUUUUCAGAUUAUGGUAGCAUGCUGAUACAGCACCAUGAAAGAACUCAAGGAAAAUAUAUCAAUGUAAGAAGUUCACUCUUAGACCUAGUGUUCUGAGGUCACAUGGGUUUGGACUGUCUCAAUCAGAAAGAUUAAUGACUGUUAUCAAGAACAUGAACAUUGGCUUCCUCCAUAGAGAAGAAAUCAGUAUCUGAGUUGCAUACCAGGCAGUAUUAAAAUCUAACAGGUCUGUUUGGCCCAUUGAUAGAUACUCAAAUGGUGUCUCCUUCUGGUUAUGGAUUUUGACCAUUGAUUACCUUUCUCAAUGUAAUGAAGUAUUUUACAGUCAAUUUGUGGUGUAAAUGUUGCUCUUGUCUUUCCUUGCUUACAAACUACUUUCACAUUGAACAGCUGUGAGACAGACAUAUUGAGAUGCCUGCCCUUGUUAGUAUUCAUUUUAUGCUGCCCAAGAUAUCAUUUAAUUUAGACUUAACAAGUAUUUCCUUGUGAUUAUAUUACUCUGUCCUUGUUAAUAAAGUGCUGCUGUGUUUGACUCUGAACAUACUACCAAAACUUCUUCAAAGAGUUUUUUAUGAAAGACUUUCCUCCUUUACAAGAAAGAAAUGGGGUGCUGCCUUUCUGUUUAGUAAAAGCAGAAUUUGCAGUGGCAUCUAAAGAGAUCUUUUUUAAAUACAAAUGAUGUAUUGUGGCAUAAUCCUUUUUUUGAGCUCUACAGAGAACAGUCUUUUGGUAAUAGUGGCAGGUAUUUAUUCCUUCUGAAUAUAUACCCCAUUAUAGGAAUAACUGUUACUUAUUUAGGAUUCCAUCAUUGAAAAUUUUGACCCAAGGCACAGCAGUGAAAUUUAUAGUUCUCAAUUUAGUUGUCAUUAUUGACAGGCAUUGGUAUUAUUAGUCAUUGCUAAGCAACUGAAACUUCAUCAGUUCAAAUAAGUUUUAAUUGUCAAAUGAAGUAUAAACACAUGAACUUUCUAGAAAUAUUUCCUCUUUUGGAUAGGUCUUUAACCAGUUCAUAUAUAUACUUUGUCAAAUAUAUGGAUGUGUAUGUGUACAUUUAUAAGAACCAGUAUGGAUACAUCCAUUCACUGUGGUACAUUUUAAAAUAAAAUAUUUUAGCAGUGAAUAUGG
Molecule: small RNA, 2169 nt
Filed under: Pan troglodytes (chimpanzee)
Lineage: Eukaryota; Metazoa; Chordata; Mammalia; Primates; Hominidae
Description: retained intron
Source: RNAcentral